Molecule: long non-coding RNA, 1649 nt
Organism: Homo sapiens (human)
Lineage: Eukaryota; Metazoa; Chordata; Mammalia; Primates; Hominidae
Gene: MAGOH-DT
Product: MAGOH divergent transcript
Source: Ensembl
CUUCUCGCUAACCUCUUCGCCCGGAAGUGGCAACAAGACUGCAACAUCCCCUCACGCCUAGUCUGUAAAGAACUUUGUUUAACCCGGAGGCGGGGCCAGCCAGCUCCGCCCCUCCAGCUGGACGCGGGAGCGAGGUUGAGGUUCAUACCCCUGGGUUCUCUCCAGGCCUGAGGCGGAGAGCCAGCCGCCUGCCUACCUCUGGGCUUUGAACCCCGGGUCUGGUGACUUCGCUUAAAGACCUCGGGCCGAAGGCCCGCCAGGCUCAACCUCGGUUCACAGGACCCCCGACUUGUGUGAGUCGUACACCGCUCUUUACCGUCUCUGGACCUAGGUCAUCUCGGCAGUAAAAUGGGGUGAAAUGACCCGACCUCCCCGGAGGAUGCCGCGCACGAUGUGUGCCUCAAGUUGGCUUCCACUGACCUGAACUGUUAAGAAAGCCCUCCUCAGUGACGCCUUCCCUGAAUCCACAGUGGAGAUUGCCGUUUUCCUGGAACUAAUUCACCCACACUUACCCAUUUCAUCCCUUUCCACCUUUUAUUUCUACCUUUCUGCCCCACUGAUCUCUAGAAUAGGUGCUGGGAGACGUUAGAGUAUUUGAUCUCCCACUCCCCAGUCAUCCCACUUACCGAGCAGUAAUUCUCUGCCUGGCUGCACAUUGCAAUCACUUGGGAAGCCUCUAAAAAUACUGAUGCCAGGGCUCUACCCCAAGCCAGUUAAAAUCUCCAGCGCUGGACCUGGGCAUUGGUACUUUUUGUAAAGCUUUCAGGUCAAGGAAGAGCAAGACUGAAAAUGUUUACCAGAUUUAUAAUCGAGGAGGUCCUGGAUGACCUUGGCAAAAGCAACCCCAAUGGCAUGGGAAUGAAUGUUUACCAAGAUGAUGCCAGUAUAGCUAGUGAGAUGCAGCACCCCAUCCUCAGCCCCCUCGCCUCUGGAAGAGACACCAGACUGCAAAGGGCACCGCGUACAGAAGCUAACGGAACUUGAAUGACAAGACAAAAAGAGCAGAAUCACAUGUCCUAGACAUUCAGUGCCUGGGCCAGUCUCUAUAGUAAACUUGGGCUGAUCUGGAAACGUCUCCACUUAGCUCUGUAAGGAUGGCACCCUUCAGGGUGCUUCAGAGGAAACUUACUGAAUUCAACCCAAGUGUCCUGAAAGAAAUUGAAGAAGUUACUCAAAGAGCUGAACUUUAAAACAAGGAGUAGCUGAGGGUGAGGCAUAUCCUAUCUUGAGUUUCUGAGCACUCUGGUACCAUGGAAUGUCUGUACACUGACCUUCGCCAAAGCCAAGAAAGCCCUGGUAGGAGUCACAGCAGCCAUGGGUGAGCUGAAAGGCUUUUCCUGACUUCCUGGGGUCUCAGGAAUAGCCAGAGGUGAAAAGAUUUGCCUUUUUUACUACAUAAUUGCACAAACCAUGGUAUCUAUUUUCUGAUCCAGAUUUCCAAAGGCUUUUCUGAAAACUACAAGAUAUACCCCUUGUGGACUGUGUGAAAAUAAAUUUAUCUUUAUGUAUUUGAACAGUAGCCAUAGAUGUGCCUCUUCUCUACAGAUUUUUCUGUCACACACAUACACAUAUAAACACACACAUACACACACAGAGUCUGUGUGGUGGGCCAAACAUGCCAAAAAUAAAUACUCUCACUUCUCUAAAUU